RNAcentral lists this ribosomal RNA (491 nucleotides) under uncultured bacterium. Its description in RNAcentral is "partial 16S ribosomal RNA". It matches the Rfam family "Bacterial small subunit ribosomal RNA", at positions 28 to 507 of the family's 1533-position model. The record is from RNAcentral.
GAUGAACGCUGGCUACAGGCUUAACACAUGCAAGUCGAGGGGAAACGACGGGGAAGCUUGCUUCCCCGGGCGUCGACCGGCGCACGGAUGAGUAACGCGUAUCCAACCUGCCUCUGACUGAGGGAUAACCCGUCGAAAGUCGGCCUACUACCUCAUGGUAUCGUCUGCGGGCAUCCAACGACGAUUAAAGAUUUCAUCGGCCAGGGAUGGGGAUGCGUCUGAUUAGCUUGUUGGCGGGGUAACGGCCCACCAAGGCUACGAUCAGUAGGGGUUCUGAGAGGAAGGUCCCCCACAUUGGAACUGAGACACGGUCCAAACUCCUACGGGAGGCAGCAGUGAGGAAUAUUGGUCAAUGGGCGAGAGCCUGAACCAGCCAAGUAGCGUGCAGGAAGACGGCCCUAUGGGUUGUAAACUGCUUUUAUGCGGGGAUAAAGUGAGGGACGUGUCCCUCAUUGCAGGUACCGCAUGAAUAAGGACCGGCUAAUUCCGUG